AGUGAACGCUGGCGGUAAGCCUAACACAUGCAAGUCGAACGGCAGCACAGUAAGAGCUUGCUCUUACGGGUGGCGAGUGGCGGACGGGUGAGGAAUACAUCGGAAUCUACUUUUUCGUGGGGGAUAACGUAGGGAAACUUACGCUAAUACCGCAUACGACCUACGGGUGAAAGCAGGGGAUCUUCGGACCUUGCGCGAUUGAAUGAGCCGAUGUCGGAUUAGCUAGUUGGCGGGGUAAAGGCCCACCAAGGCGACGAUCCGUAGCUGGUCUGAGAGGAUGAUCAGCCACACUGGAACUGAGACACGGUCCAGACUCCUACGGGAGGCAGCAGUGGGGAAUAUUGGACAAAGGGCGCAAGCCUGAUCCAGCCAUACCGCGUGGGUGAAGAAGGCCUUCGGGUUGUAAAGCCCUUUUGUUGGGAAAGAAAAGCAGCAGGUUAAUACCCCGCUGUUCUGACGGUACCCAAAGAAUAAGCACCGGCUAACUUCGUG
This 492-nucleotide ribosomal RNA is filed under the name uncultured bacterium. RNAcentral's name for it is "partial 16S ribosomal RNA". It matches the Rfam family "Bacterial small subunit ribosomal RNA", at positions 29 to 507 of the family's 1533-position model. The record is from RNAcentral.